Molecule: non-coding RNA, 846 nt
Organism: Elaeis guineensis (African oil palm)
Lineage: Eukaryota; Viridiplantae; Streptophyta; Magnoliopsida; Arecales; Arecaceae
Source: RefSeq, a predicted model, not a curated record
AUCAAGCUGAUGAGGAUGCAAGUGCUAAAAUCGAAAGUUGCAUAAUUUGUAUAAUUUUUUAAACUCAAUAAGUAUUUAUGACAUUAAAUAUGUUUAUUUAUUAGUUUUGAAAUAAACUUAUGACUAAGAAUAUUUAAUAUAAUUGAUUGUUGGAUAUUGUAGUCUCGGCUUGAGGAAAUACAAUCUCAAAUUCAAGGAGAAAGCAGGUGCAGAAAAAAUUACAGAAAUUUUAGGAAAAGAAAAAUCUGGACAUGUGCAUUUCUACGAAAGAGGGGUCAUCCAAAAGGAUUUAUGAAAAAGAUCAAUUUAUGAUGAUCAUUCCAAGAGAGCCCAACAGUAAGAGAUAGAUAACUUCAAAAAAAUUAUACAGAAGAAUAUGCAGAAGAAGUUUGAUGAAGAGAGAGAGUAAAUAUGGUCCAAAAAUUUGAUGAAGAGAGAGUACAUAUGGCUCAUGAAUUUCAAAUGAUGCUUUCACAAUUACAGUAGAAUAAUCCAGAAUUAGUUAUUCCCCAAGGAUUAACUGACUUUUUAUUAGUGAAUGAUCGAUCUCGUGAUGAUGCUACUAGUAAAAUUGGGAUACCACGCAUGCAUGAACCAUCUUCAGCUGAUGCACAUGAUUCUUCUUCUUUAUAGAUACAUGCUUCAGUGGGAGAUUUAAUGUUAUGGAUAAAGAAGAUCAUCCAUCGAGAAGACAACCAAGAAAAAAUACAAUGACUAUUGAACAUUGUUUUUUAUAUUUUCUUUGAAUGUUAGUAGUUAAAUGUUGAUGGUAUAUGAAGUUAUGGACUACAUUUUGGUUUUCAUACACUAUUGAGAUUUUGUCAUGAUAAAUAUAUUUUGCAACUA